CAGUUUCUCGGCUGAUAAGAUUGCUGCAUUACUGUUAUGAUGUUGUUAUUAAAACCGCGAGCUCAUUCGUCUUAACUCACCCAUAAACGAUUGCUUUAUAUAUCUUUUCUUUUGUGAUUUCUUGAACGUCACUUGUUUUAUAGAAUAGAUUUUAUAAUUUUAAUUUGACUAAAAUGUUUAAUUAAUAUAGUAUUUUUGAUAGUAAAUAGCUACGUUGAAAAAUGUUGAGUAUUGGUUUUAUAUGAAUAAAGAAAUUGCAACGGCUUCUGACUAAAGUGGAGUUUGCUGACGUAACCUGUAAUUCAACUCUAUUCUAUUCUCUAUACCUGUCAUAGACAUCUAGUAACAAUAUCAUCGUAAAUUUAGCACAGGAGUGAAAGGGACUCCCACAGCAACACCUGGAAAAGCGUUUUUUUUUUCAAACUAGUCUCUAAGUUCGUUAAUGACAUACAUAUAUGUACAUGUUUUUAAAUGUUAAGCAUUCCAUUUUCAUAUUCUGCUGCCGUAGUGAGGAUCUGAAAUACUAAUAAAAAGUAAGGCAUCUAGUAUGUA
This is a long non-coding RNA of Rhagoletis pomonella (apple maggot), 552 nucleotides long. RefSeq lists it as uncharacterized. The transcript is spliced from 2 exons. The record is from RefSeq and is a predicted model, not a curated record. NCBI's taxonomy places the organism in Eukaryota, Metazoa, Arthropoda, Insecta, Diptera, Tephritidae.